Non-coding RNA from Clathrospora elynae, 87 nucleotides. Lineage: Eukaryota; Fungi; Ascomycota; Dothideomycetes; Pleosporales; Diademaceae. The record is from the annotation of a GenBank genome assembly.
GGGCCGAUAACUCAGUGGUAGAGUGUAGGUUUGCAGCCCAUCAAAGCCGUCUGCCCGAAGUCACCGGUUCGACUCCGGUUCGGCCCU